UGGGGAAUAUUGCACAAUGGGCGCAAGCCUGAUGCAGCCAUGCCGCGUGUGUGAAGAAGGCCUUCGGGUUGUAAAGCACUUUCAGCGAGGAGGAAGGGUAGUGUGUUAAUAGCACAUUGCAUUGACGUUACUCGCAGAAGAAGCACCGGCUAACUCCGUGCCAGCAGCCGCGGUAAUACGGAGGGUGCAAGCGUUAAUCGGAAUUACUGGGCGUAAAGCGCACGCAGGCGGUUUGUUAAGUCAGAUGUGAAAUCCCCGCUCUUAACGUGGGAACUGCAUUUGAAACUGGCAAGCUAGAGUCUUGUAGAGGGGGGUAGAAUUCCAGGUGUAGCGGUGAAAUGCGUAGAGAUCUGGAGGAAUACCGGUGGCGAAGGCUGCCCCCUGGACAAAGACUGACGCUCAGGUGCGAAAGCGUGGGGAGCAAACA
Molecule: ribosomal RNA, 427 nt
Filed under: uncultured bacterium
Lineage: Bacteria
Description: partial 16S ribosomal RNA
Rfam family: Bacterial small subunit ribosomal RNA
Source: RNAcentral